GACGAACGCUGGCGGCGUGCUUAACACAUGCAAGUCGAACGGACAGACAGAGAGCUUGCUCUCUUGAAGUUAGUGGCGAACGGGUGAGUAACGCGUAAUCAACCUGCCCUUCAGAGGGGGAUAACAACGGGAAACCGUUGCUAAUACCGCGUACGAUUCAUGAACGGCAUCGUUUAUGAAUGAAAGGUGGCCUCUAUGUAUAAGCUAUCGCUGAAGGAGGGGAUUGCGUCUGAUUAGCUAGUUGGAGGGGUAACGGCCCACCAAGGCAAUGAUCAGUAGCCGGUCUGAGAGGAUGAACGGCCACAUUGGGACUGAGAAACGGCCCAAACUCCUACGGGGGGUAGCAGUGGGGAAUCUUCCGCAAUGGACGAAAGUCUGACGGAGCAACGCCGCGUGAGUGAUGAAGGUCUUCGGAUUGUAAAGCUCUGUUAAUCGGGACGAAAGAGUUCUGCGUGAAUAAUGCAGAAAAGUGACGGUACCGGAAUAGAAAGCCACGGCUAACUACGUGCCAGCAGCCGCGGUAA
Molecule: ribosomal RNA, 524 nt
Filed under: uncultured bacterium
Lineage: Bacteria
Description: partial 16S ribosomal RNA
Rfam family: Bacterial small subunit ribosomal RNA
Source: RNAcentral